Molecule: long non-coding RNA, 2954 nt
Organism: Parambassis ranga (Indian glassy fish)
Lineage: Eukaryota; Metazoa; Chordata; Actinopteri; Ambassidae
Source: Ensembl
AGGUAAUAGAAGACAUCUGUCUUUGUUAGAGCAACACUAUGGAGUUUUUCAGCCUCCAAACUGUAUUUCCAAAAUCACUCUGAUGGUACAUUAAUUCCAAAUAGAGUGAAUGACACUUUCAAAAUUUUGGGGUACUUAAAAAACUACAACAUUUUCCUACUUUACGGCAUACGUCACAUCUGCCUCCCUCAUUUCUCAAAGCACGAGGUAAACGGAGUUGGAAGCGACACAGGGGGGCAGCAGUGUGCCUGCGGGCUUCCGGUCUACCGGAAAUUCACAAGAAGAAGAAGAAGAAGAAGAAGAAGAAGGAAGCAAAGUUGAAAGUUAUGGCUGCUGCAGAGACUAAAACAAGAGCCCAAAUAAGGAUUAAUGUCAGCGAGAGCUGAAAAGAACCGUUAUCAUAGCGACACAGGUGGAAGAUAUUGGCAGCUUCCGUAAACCGGACGUUGUUCCGGUUGGAUUCAGGUGCAUUAGGUGCAGUAAUGGAAUGGACGCCGGCUAAAAUAAGGGGAGAAGCUGUGAGCUGUGGCGGUCAGAGGUUCAACGUGUUCCUUGUCAAAGUGAUGCUGCAGCUAAGGAACACUGGAGGGCAGCAGCAGCCUGCAAGAAAACAUCUGCAGCUCCACAACACAACAAAGAUCAGGUGAAGUAUUUUAAUCCACAGCCUGACGGGGGGACCUCAGAGAGCAAAGCUCUUUACAGACAAUAAUCAAUCAUACAAAGGGUGUUGGCGCAGGAAAAGAUCACAUGGGUCAGGGAUAUCUCCAAACUCAGUUCAAAUAAAUAGUAUUUAAACAUGUGUAUCUGCUUUGUUUUGAUGAGAGGGAUUCUAUCAGCAAUAUGAGGAAUGAAUGUGUUUGUUGACUUUUUCUAACUUGAAAUGAAUUUGAAGGUAAAAUGAAACAGACAGUAGUAACUAUAAUGAAACGGAUUAUAAAUCUAAAAAACAGCAUCAAGUUUAAGGCUGUUACCGACGCAGGAUUCAAAUAUGUGUAAUUUUAUUGACACAUCUAACACGUAGCCUACAGCCUGUCCUACCUAAGCAGCUGUGACAGCUUCCACAAUGAUUACCAAGCUAAAACUAAUUCAAGAGAGGAUACAUUUUCAUUUGCCACUGGAUGUAGUGAUGAAUGUUUUAGAGGCAACAGACAGGAAAGAGUUGCAACUGGUUUGUUGUCUAGCAGCAGCUACCACUGUGUGAACAAGCCCAAUGUAGACGGCAUGUUUGUACUGACACAUCCAGUACAGUACAUACAUCAUGACCUGCCUUGUAUUGUUUUUGGUUUGGUAGCCCAUGUCAAAGCUGUCACUACUGGUUAGCAAAUUCCGGCUUGAAAAUUGAGAUUAUUUUAUUCCUGCCUCACUGACAGUGCUUAACCUGUCGUUAUUUUUUUAUAUGGACAAUCCAGCUUUGAAUUAUGCAAAGUUCAUUGUUUAUCCUAAGCAGUGUUAAUUUUAGCAGCAAUUUCUGAUUUAGUUUUUAUUUUAGUCUUGUGACUAAAAUAUCAUUUGAUUUUAGUCACAUUUUAGUCAUCAACAUUUUUUAACUUUUAGUCUAGUUUUAGUCGACUAAAUAUCAAAGAAUUUUUUGAUAUUUAUUUUUUCAAUAAAUAAUUAAGGUUUGAAGUGCAAUAAAAACAGGCAGAUUUAACUUGUGUUAUUUGAAACAAACACCUUUCUAUUUAUUUGCUAUGACCUUUUCACAAAAGAACCAGUGAACAGUGAGCUGCUCUCCCUGAAUACACCGUUCAGUCAUGACUUUCUUCAUGAAUCCUCCAUAACUACAGCAAAACACUUCAGUGACAGCUUAGAAACGGUGCGCAUGCUGUAAAACCAUCAGCAGCGGUGUCUUCAUUUCUAGAUUUUGUCACGUGUAUCUUUGAACGGAAGUUAAGUUAACUCGUCUGCAAAUGUCGCUUCAGGUUUAUUGUUUUUACCGCUGAUAGUCGCUCCGCACGGUUUGAACCGUCCUGUUUGUCUUGACAUCAAACGUGUCCGUGUGUCUGUUCUUCUCCUGUGUUGUGUUACCAUGCAUGAGUACGCCUUCUUCCAGCAUCGCGGGGUAACGUCCUUACCCAGAGAUCACUUCAGAUUGGCUUUCUGCCGCCGUCUCCUGAUUCGUCCCUCCCUUCCACAGUCAAAAUUUUCUCUGAUUGGAUCUCGUCUCCAUCAAUAAUUUCGUCUCGUUUUUAUUCGUUGACGAAAGUGUCAAUACAUUUCGUCUUCGUUUUUGGCACCAUGCGUUUUUAUUUAGUUAUCGUCUCAUUUUUAUCAGCAAAAAAAGGUCGUUAACGAAAACUAUGACGAAAAUGAUUCGUCAACAAAAUUAACACUGAUCCUAAGGUUGUUUUAGACUCUGUGGCUAUGUCAGCACCAACAGCAACAAGAUUGGUUUCAGACUAAUCAAUACUAUAAUCAAUUCAUUUACAUUGGACUGGGAAGAACACAGCUUUUACAGCCAGAAGAAGACAUGGAGUAUCGUUGUCUUGGCCAGUGGUGCUGGUCGCUGUCGGGUCAGACAAAAUGUCUCACACAGAGCUGAAGAGAGCGCCUAUACUGACAGAUGUUAAAAGGCAGUGUAGCAUUAGAUGCUUCCUUUAAACACAGCACUUCUGUGCUGUCGCUUUACUGACAAUGCUUGUCUAAUGAAGGGGUUAAAACAUAACCCUCUGUAAGGACUGAAAGGCUCAUGGUCUGGGCUGUCCAUUUCCCACGUGUGCUCUAACAAACUACCCAGUGCAUCACUGUGGGUGCAUAUAAUGAGUAAGACAAGUUUUGGAGUGAGACAGCACUUGAACAUGUCACAACAUAGUUUAUUUACAAUCAUUCACAAAACCUAAAAAUGGAAUUUUUGAAUUUACGAGUUCAAUAUCACCUAAAUGUCAAAAAUAUUUGCCCGUUAAAUAACUCCCACACAGGCCACCUAUUUUAAGCCUCAAAGAUUGCACAGUUUU